This 465-nucleotide ribosomal RNA is filed under the name uncultured bacterium. RNAcentral's name for it is "partial 16S ribosomal RNA". It matches the Rfam family "Bacterial small subunit ribosomal RNA", at positions 339 to 795 of the family's 1533-position model. The record is from RNAcentral.
CUACGGGGCGCAGCAGUGGGGAAUAUUGGACAAUGGGGGAAACCCUGAUCCAGCAAUGCCGCGUGUGUGAAGAAGGCCUGCGGGUUGUAAAGCACUUUCGGUUGGGAGGACUGCUUCUAGCACUAAUAUUGUUGGAAGUUGACGUUACCUUCAGAAGAAGCACCGGCUAACUCCGUGCCAGCAGCCGUGGUAAUACGGAGGGUGCAAGCGUUAAUCGGAAUUACUAGGCGUAAAGCGCGCGUAGGCGGCUAGAUCAGUCGGGUGUGAAAGCCCCGGGCUUAACCUGGGAACUGCAUCCGGUACUGGCGAGCUUGAGUACAGGAGAGGAGAGUGGAAUUCCACAUGUAGCGGUGAAAUGCGUAGAUAUGUGGAGGAACACCAAUGGCGAAGGCAGCUCUCUGGCCUGAUACUGACGCUGAGGUGCGAAAGCGUGGGGAGCAAACAGGAUUAGAUACCCGAGUAGUC